CAUAGCGACUAUCGUGGCAUAUCAAUAAGCGGAGGAAAAGAAACUAACAAGGAUUCCCUUAGUAACGGCGAGUGAAGCGGGAAGAGCUCAAAUUUGAAAUCUUCAAGGUUUUACCUUGACGAAUUGUAGUUUAAAGAAGUGUUUUCUGUUGAAGUUUUGGUAAAAGUUCUUUGGAAUAGGACAUCAUAGAGGGUGAGAAUCCCGUAUUUGACCAUUAUUUUCAGCUGUGUGAUACACUUUCAAAGAGUCGGAUUGUUUGGGAAUGCAGUCCAAAAUGGGUGGUAAAUUUCAUCUAAAGCUAAAUAUUGGCGAGAGACCGAUAGCGAACAAGUACCGUGAGGGAAAGAUGAAAAGAACUUUGAAAAGAGAGUUAAACAGUACGUGAAAUUGUCAAAAGGGAAGCGUUUGACACCAGUGUUGUUUAGUUGAAAACCAAUUCAAUAAUUUUUGAUUUUGAGAGUAGUAUUGACUUCAUCAGCUUGCUGCUUUCUUUUCGGAAAUUAUUGAAUGCACUUUUCAGUUAACAAGUCAACAUCAAUUUCUUUUGUUGUAAAAGGGUAAGAGGAAGGUGGCUUACGCUUCGGCGUAAGUGUUUAUAGCCUUUUACCUCUGCAAUCGGAGAGAUUGAGGACAGCAGCGUAGACUCCUUCGGGGGUUAGAUACACUUGUGCUAAGCUAUAGCCUUGUAUAGACAACUUGUUGACUAUGCUCAGUCAUGUAGCUUACUCGCUUGUGCUAUUUUACCUACGCUUAGGAUGUUGAUAUGCAUGACUGAUAU
This 778-nucleotide ribosomal RNA is filed under the name uncultured Neocallimastigales. RNAcentral's name for it is "partial large subunit ribosomal RNA". It matches the Rfam family "Eukaryotic large subunit ribosomal RNA", at positions 22 to 641 of the family's 3401-position model. Lineage: Eukaryota; Fungi; Neocallimastigomycota; Neocallimastigomycetes; Neocallimastigales. The record is from RNAcentral.